Molecule: ribosomal RNA, 919 nt
Filed under: uncultured Bacteroidota bacterium
Lineage: Bacteria; Pseudomonadati; Bacteroidota
Description: bacterial SSU rRNA
Rfam family: Bacterial small subunit ribosomal RNA
Source: RNAcentral
UGGAUCCAGACUUUGAUUAUGGCUCAGGAUGAACGCUAGCUACAGGCUUAACACAUGCAAGUCGAGGGGCAGCAUGACCUAGCAAUAGGUUGAUGGCGACCGGCGCACGGGUGAGUAACACGUAUCCAACCUGCCGAUUAUUCCGGGAUAGCCUUUCGAAAGAAAGAUUAAUACUGGAUAGCAUAACGAGAAGGCAUCUUCUUGUUAUUAAAGAAUUUCGAUAAUCGAUGGGGAUGCGUUCCAUUAGUUUGUUGGCGGGGUAACGGCCCACCAAGACAUCGAUGGAUAGGGGUUCUGAGAGGAAGGUCCCCCACAUUGGAACUGAGACACGGUCCAAACUCCUACGGGAGGCAGCAGUGAGGAAUAUUGGUCAAUGGACGAGAGUCUGAACCAGCCAAGUAGCGUGAAGGAUGACUGCCCUAUGGGUUGUAAACUUCUUUUAUAUGGGAAUAAAGUGCAGUAUGUAUACUGUUUUGUAUGUACCAUACGAAUAAGGAUCGGCUAACUCCGUGCCAGCAGCCGCGGUAAUACGGAGGAUCCGAGCGUUACCCGGAUUUAUUGGGUUUAAAGGGAGCGUAGGCGGAUUAUUAAGUCAGUUGUGAAAGUUUGCGGCUCAACCGUAAAAUUGCAGUUGAUACUGGUAGUCUUGAGUGCAGCAGAGGUAGGCGGAAUUCGUGGUGUAGCGGUGAAAUGCUUAGAUAUCACGAAGAACUCCGAUUGCGAAGGCAGCUUACUGGACUGUAACUGACGCUGAUGCUCGAAAGUGUGGGUAUCAAACAGGAUUAGAUACCCUGGUAGUCCACACAGUAAACGAUGAAUACUCGCUGUUUGCGAUAUACAGCAAGCGGCCAAGCGAAAGCAUUAAGUAUUCCACCUGGGGAGUACGCCGGCAACGGUGCAACUCAAAUGAAUUGACGGA